Molecule: ribosomal RNA, 250 nt
Filed under: uncultured bacterium
Lineage: Bacteria
Description: partial 16S ribosomal RNA
Rfam family: Bacterial small subunit ribosomal RNA
Source: RNAcentral
UACAGAGGGUGCGAGCGUUAAUCGGAAUUACUGGGCGUAAAGCGCGCGUAGGCGGCUUUGCAAGUCGGGUGUGAAAUCCCCGGGCUCAACCUGGGAACUGCAUUUGUGACUGUAGAGCUGGAGUGCGGCAGAGGGGGAUGGAAUUCGCGUGUAGCAGUGAAAUGCGUAGAUAUGCGGAGGAACACCGAUGGCGAAGGCAAUCCCCUGGGCCUGCACUGACGCUCAUGCACGAAAGCGUGGGAGCAACAGG